Molecule: ribosomal RNA, 459 nt
Filed under: uncultured bacterium
Lineage: Bacteria
Description: partial 16S ribosomal RNA
Rfam family: Bacterial small subunit ribosomal RNA
Source: RNAcentral
CCUACGGGAGGCAGCAGUGAGGAAUAUUGGUCAAUGGGCGCGAGCCUGAACCAGCCAAGUAGCGUGAAGGAUGACUGCCCUACGGGUUGUAAACUUCUUUUAUAAAGGAAUAAAGUGAGGCACGUGUGCCUUUUUGUAUGUACUUUAUAAAUAGGAAUCGGUUAACUCCGUGCAAGCAGCCUCGUUAAUACGGGGGAUCCGAGCGUUAUCUGGUUUUAUUGGGUUUAAAGGGAGCGUAGAUGGGUUGUUAAGUCAGUUGUGAAAGUUUGCGGCUCAACCGUAAAAUUGCAAUUGAUACUGGCAGUCUUGAGUACAGUUGAGGUAGGCGGAAUUCGUGGUGUAGCGGUGAAAUGCUUAGAUAUCACGAAGAACUCCAAUUGCGAGGGCAGCUUACUAAACUGCCACUGACAUUGAUGCUCGAAAGUGUGGUAUCAAACAGGAUUAGAUACCCUUGUAGUC